This 274-nucleotide ribosomal RNA is filed under the name uncultured bacterium. RNAcentral describes it as "partial 16S ribosomal RNA". It matches the Rfam family "Bacterial small subunit ribosomal RNA", at positions 523 to 796 of the family's 1533-position model. The record is from RNAcentral.
AUACGGAGGGUGCAAGCAUUAAUCGGAAUUACUGGGCGUAAAGGGUGCGUAGGCGGUUUGGAAAGUCAGAUGUGAAAUUUCGGGGCUCAACCCCGAAGCUGCAUUUGAAACUAUCAGACUAGAGGAUAAAUGGAGAAAGCGGAAUUCCAUGUGUAGCGGUGGAAUGCGUAGAUAUAUGGAAGAACACCGGUGGCGAAGGCGGCUUUCUAAUUUAUUCCUGACGCUGAGGCACGAAAGCUAGGGGAGCGAACAGGAUUAGAUACCCCAGUAGUCC